GGGCCCGCACAAGCAGCGGAGCGUGUGGUUUAAUUCGAUGUUACACGAAGAACCUUACCAGGGUUUGACAUGCAAGUGGUAGGAAGCCGAAAGGUGACCGACCCUUCGGGGAGCUUGCACAGGUGCUGCAUGGCUGUCGUCAGCUCGUGUCGUGAGAUGUUCGGUUAAGUCCGCUAACGAGCGCAACCCUCGCUGUGUGUUAUAUGUGUCACACAGGACUGCUGGUAUUAAGCCGGAGGAAGGUGGGACGACGUCAAGUCAGCAUGACCUUUAUAUCCAGGGCUACACACACGCUACAAUGGUCAGUACAAUGGGUUGCCAAGCCGCGAGGCGGAGCCAAUCCUAAAAAGCUGGCCUCAGUUCAGAUUGCAGUCUGAAACUCGACUGCAUGAAGUCGGAGUUGCUAGUAAACGCAGGUCAGCUAUACUGCGUUGAAUACGUUCCCGGGGCUU
RNAcentral lists this ribosomal RNA (452 nucleotides) under uncultured Anaerolineaceae bacterium. RNAcentral describes it as "bacterial SSU rRNA". It matches the Rfam family "Bacterial small subunit ribosomal RNA", at positions 917 to 1382 of the family's 1533-position model. The record is from RNAcentral. Lineage: Bacteria; Bacillati; Chloroflexota; Anaerolineae; Anaerolineales; Anaerolineaceae.